GAUGAACGCUGGCGGCGUGCCUAAUACAUGCAAGUCGAGCGAACGGACGAGAAGCUUGCUCCUCUGAUGUUAGCGGCGGACGGGUGAGUAACACGUGGAUAACCUACCUAUAAGACUGGGAUAACUUCGGGAAACCGGAGCUAAUACCGGAUAAUAUUUUGAACCGCAUGGUUCAAAAGUGAAAGACGGUCUUGCUGUCACUUAUAGAUGGAUCCGCGCUGCAUUAGCUAGUUGGUAAGGUAACGGCUUACCAAGGCGACGAUGCAUAGCCGACCUGAGAGGGUGAUCGGCCACACUGGAACUGAGACACGGUCCAGACUCCUACGGGAGGCAGCAGUAGGGAAUCUUCCGCAAUGGGCGAAAGCCUGACGGAGCAACGCCGCGUGAGUGAUGAAGGUCUUCGGAUCGUAAAACUCUGUUAUUAGGGAAGAACAUAUGUGUAAGUAACUGUGCACAUCUUGACGGUACCUAAUCAGAAAGCCACGGCUAACUACGUG
Molecule: ribosomal RNA, 497 nt
Filed under: uncultured bacterium
Lineage: Bacteria
Description: partial 16S ribosomal RNA
Rfam family: Bacterial small subunit ribosomal RNA
Source: RNAcentral